RNAcentral lists this unclassified non-coding RNA (179 nucleotides) under Daphnia pulicaria. Its description in RNAcentral is "uncharacterized LOC124327599, transcript variant X2". Lineage: Eukaryota; Metazoa; Arthropoda; Branchiopoda; Diplostraca; Daphniidae. The record is from RNAcentral.
GAAACGCACACUACCGUCGAAAGCGCAAAGAAGGAAUUGAAAAAUACGAAAACUGAUUUAACACACACUAUGCAACGCUUGGAUGAAACGCAUGCUACUGUCGAAGGUUUAAAAAAUGAGUUGAAAGGAAAUUCCCAACUUCUUGCUACUGUUAUGGCCACAUUCGAAACAUUGAAAAA